RNAcentral lists this long non-coding RNA (226 nucleotides) under Elaeis guineensis (African oil palm). Its description in RNAcentral is "long non-coding RNA (EGUI_LNC073227)". Lineage: Eukaryota; Viridiplantae; Streptophyta; Magnoliopsida; Arecales; Arecaceae. The record is from RNAcentral.
GGGGUGGUGGAAUCGCACAGGAUCCACCGCAGGGAGUGGAGCAGAAUCAUGGCCGUUAAUACAGCCUGUCAGGGAGUAAUGGGGUCGCGUAGGGUCCGUCGCAGGGAGUGGAGCAGAAUCAUGGCCGUUAAUACAGCCUGUCAGGGAGUAAUGGGGUCGCGUAGGGUCCGCCGCAGGGAGUGGAGCAGUGUUGUCCGUUAUUGUGGCCUGCCUGGAAGUGCAGAUC